GCCAUGGUGCCGGGCGUUGGGACUGAGCUCUUAACUCAGGGAGUCUUUGUUAAUUCAUUAGCAUCAGAAUUGAACUGAACAGUAGGAUGCCCGGCUGGUGUCAGAGAAUUGAUUGGUAUAGCAAAAAGCCCCACAAAUUUGGUGUCAGAAGUGAAGGAUUGAGUGGUGUGAGUACAGAGAGAAAAACGAUUGGUCUUUCCUGUAUUCACUGAUCCAUGUAACAAUACAGAAAAGUAUUUUGAUUGAUUCUACCAUUUAGAAAUAAGUAUGGUGGGGGUGGGUGCAGUGGCUCCCGGCUGUAAUCCCAGCACUUUGGGAGGCCGAGGCAGGCGGAUCACAAGGUCAGGAGUUCAAGACCAGCCUGGCCAAUAUGGUGAAACCCCGGCUCUACUAAAAAUACAAAAAUUAGCCAGGCAUGGUGGUGGGUACCUGUAGUCCCAGCUACUCGGGAGGCUGAGGCAGGAGAAUCGCUUGAACUUAGGAGGUGGAGCUUGCAGUGAGCUGCGAUCACGCCACUGCACUCCAGCCUGGGCAACAGAGCAAGACUCCAUCUCAAAAAAAAAAAAAAAAAGAAAAAAAAGGAAAGAGAAAUAAUAAGUAUGGUGGCCAGGUGUGGUGGCUCAUGCCUGUAAUCCUAGCUACUAUGGGAGGUUGAGGCAGGAGGAUCUCUCAAGUUCAGGAGUUCAAGACCAGCCUGGGCAACAUAGUGAGACCCUGUGUCUACAAAAAACAUCAAAAAAAUUUAGCUGAGCUUGGUGGUGUACGCCUGCAGUCCCAGCUACGCAGGAGGCUGAGGUGGGAGGACUGCUUGGGCCCAGGAGAUUUGAGGCUGCAGUGAGCCGUGAUUGUGCUACUGCACUCCGGCUUCAGCAACAGAGCAAGACCCUGUUGCCAAAAAAAAAAAAAAAAAAAAAAAAGAAAAGUGUCCAGUUUUCAACUGGGUAGGUAGAUUAUAUAUCUAUGAAUUUUAAUUCAGCAUAGAAUAGAGGAUAGAGUUACAAAAGGUGGGUCUAACAGGGUUUAGAACUGCAGGACUGGCCGGGCGUGGUGGCUCAUGCCUGUAAUCCUAGCACUUUGGGAAGCUGAGGCAGGAGGAUCACCUGAGGUCAGGAGUUCAAGACCAGCCUGGCCAACAUGGUGAAAUCCCAUCUCUACUAAAAAUGCAAAAAUUAAUUAGCCAGGCAUGGUGGUGCAUGCCUGUAAUCCCAGCUAUUCGGGAGGCUGAGGCAGGAGAAUCAAUUGAACCCGGGAGGCAGAAGUGACAGUGAGCCAAGAUUACACCACUGCACUCCAGUCUGGGUGACAGUAAGACUCUGUCUCAAAAUAAAUAAAUAAAUAAAAAUAAAAAAUAACUAAAAGAGUAUAAUUGGAUUGGUUUUAGCACAAAGGAUAAAUGCUCGUGGGGAUGGAGACCCCAUUCUCCAUGAUGUGAUUAUUACGCAUGCAUGCUUGUAUGAAAACAUCCCAUGUACCCCAUAUAUACACCUAAUAUGUAGCCACAAUAAUUAGAAAAUUUUAAAAAACUCAU
Molecule: long non-coding RNA, 1528 nt
Filed under: Homo sapiens (human)
Lineage: Eukaryota; Metazoa; Chordata; Mammalia; Primates; Hominidae
Description: HSALNT0123937
Source: RNAcentral